GAUGAAGAACGGAGCAAAAUGCGAUAAGUAAUGUGAAUUGCAGAAUUCAGUGAAUCAUCGAAUCUUUGAACGCACAUUGCGCCCGCCAGUAUUCUGGCGGGCAUGCCUGUUCGAGCGUCAUUUCAACCCUCAAGCACAGCUUGGUGUUGGGACUCGCGUUAAUUCGCGUUCCCCAAAUUGAUUGGCGGUCACGUCGAGCUUCCAUAGCGUAGUAGUAAAACCCUCGUUACUGGUAAUCGUCGCGGCCACGCCGUUAAACCCCAACUUCUGAAUGUUGACCUCGGAUCAGGUAGGAAUACCCGCUGAACUUAAGCAUAUCAAUAAGCGGAGGA
Molecule: unclassified non-coding RNA, 332 nt
Filed under: soil metagenome
Description: partial contains 5.8S ribosomal RNA, internal transcribed spacer 2, and large subunit ribosomal RNA
Rfam family: 5.8S ribosomal RNA (bases 1-120)
Source: RNAcentral